Molecule: small nucleolar RNA, 108 nt
Organism: Dioscorea cayenensis subsp. rotundata (Guinea yam)
Lineage: Eukaryota; Viridiplantae; Streptophyta; Magnoliopsida; Dioscoreales; Dioscoreaceae
Source: RefSeq, a predicted model, not a curated record
AAUCCAUGUUGCGGGCACUUCCUCGGGGAGCUCCUUAGACCUUUCCCACAUCUCAAAUAGAGCUCUCAAUUCCAGCUGUACAAAGGAUGAGAUCUCAUUCCUAAGCUU